Molecule: long non-coding RNA, 1063 nt
Organism: Ornithorhynchus anatinus (platypus)
Lineage: Eukaryota; Metazoa; Chordata; Mammalia; Monotremata; Ornithorhynchidae
Exons: 5
Source: RefSeq, a predicted model, not a curated record
GAGACUCACAACAGCAAAAAAUAACAACAUCUCCAUCCGCGAUUUGUUUUCCUUUCUGUGCGAGUGUGCGUGUGUGUUGCAAACUCGAAAGUGGCCGGGAAGCUUUAGAGCCGAGUCGAGGAUAGAACAGGAGAGGUGGGCGAGGAGGGAGGGAGAAGAGGGGGCCACCUUCCCCAUCUCCUCCCUGCUGCUGCUGGAGCUGGAUUCUCUCCUGGAAGCUAGUCCCGAGCGGAGGAAUCUAUUGUUAUUUAUUGUGUGGCUGUUGCAUGCUUUACUUGCUACACAAGAUCUCGCAUGUGUGUGUGUGUAUAUAUGUGCGCCUGAAUGUGUGUGUAUGUGUGAAAAGGAGAGAAAACACCUUAGUUUGCACCGAGAGACCAUUUGCAGCGGAGCCGAAAGUUUGUCUGCAGGAGGAAACAGGGUUAGCAGCAGCAACAGCAGCAACAGCAGCAACAGCAGCAGCAGCAGCAACAGCAGUAGCAGCAGCAGCAGCAGCAGCAACAGCAGCAGCAGCGGUUCCUGUUGAGGAUAUGGUGCUGCCGCUCCGAGAGCCUUAAAGCGGGCCCGCUAAGAGCUUCCCUCUGUUCUCGGUGGUCGGCUCCUGGAGGCUUGGCUUGAGGAGACACACACAGAGAAGAGACAGAGAGAGAUACACACAGCAGGAGAUUCUGAAUCAGCAGAUCCACUGAAAGACAGAGAGAGUGGGGAUCAGAGAGAAUCUAAAGUGUCCCAAGAGACUUUUCUGAUCAAUUCCAGUUUCAGCAAUUUAUUUGGCAAUGGUAAAUGUUUUAAUCCCUUCUCAGAGGUGUUCUGAACCAUGAGUGGAUAAAUGUGAUGACCGCAAACAAAAACGGUCUGUGCCUUCCUUUGGCUUCCACUAAUCUCAGUUGGAUCAGUGCCGUUAUCCAAAAUGCAGACUUCAACACUGAGUGGUAAUGAAGAAAGUUUUAUCAUGUGACAAUUCUUUACUUUUUUCCCAUUCUAUUUAUUUCCAUUGACUGUGAUACACAAAUAAGAAGUAUGUAACUUACUGAUGUCGAGUUAUUAAAGAUCUCAAACUAAA